RNAcentral lists this long non-coding RNA (721 nucleotides) under Homo sapiens (human). RNAcentral's name for it is "non-protein coding lnc-CTSL-3:1". The record is from RNAcentral. Lineage: Eukaryota; Metazoa; Chordata; Mammalia; Primates; Hominidae.
GAGGAACUCUGACUCCUGGGGUGCAGAAAAAUUGUCUGUGGAAGCCCCGUGAAGGAGGUGGGGGACCGCUGCAAAAGCAAGGAAGAGGACGAGGAUGAGGACGUCUGGGAUAACUGGGAUGAUGGUGAUGACAGGAAAAAGAAAAAAGAGGAAGCAGAAAUAAACAUUUUAGAAAAGAAAAAACUAACAGAGAAGAUAAAAGAAAGAACGGCAACAGAAGAAAGGGCAGGAAGAAAUUAAAAAGGGGUUAGAAGAACCUGAAGAACUCCAGCUGCUAACACCAGAGGAACAAUUAGCAGAUAAACCGCAGCUGGAGAAAUCACAGGAAGAGUCAGACAUGGAAUUAGCAAAGGCAACUUUUGGUGUUAAGACUACUGUAUAUGGAUCGGAUGCUGUAAACCCAUCUUCAAGGGAUGACCUUACAGAGUUUGGAAAGUUACUAAAAGAUAAAAUUACACAAAAUAAAAAGUCACUAUAUUAUGCCAGUUUUUUGGAAGUCUUAGUUGGAGAUGUGUGUAUGUCAUUGGAAACUGAUGACUUGAAAAAGGUUCUCAAUACAUUGUGCUUUGAAGUGAAAAACAGAAGCAAGCAAAGCCAAGCCAAAAAGAAGAACAAAGGUAUGGUUCCUGGAGGGAGAUUAAAAGCCACCAUGACAAAUGAUCUGGUAAAUUAUGGUGGUGAUGAUGCAGGGUAUGCACAAGACUAUGAAAAUGUCAUGUGA